AACGAACGCUGGCGGCAUGCCUAACACAUGCAAGUCGAACGAGAACUCCGGGGCUAGCGGCGCAAGUCUGCGUAACGACGGGGAACCUGCCCGUAGGUUCGGAAUAACUCCCCGAAAGGGGUGCCAAUACAGGUUAAUCUCUUCCGACAAAAGACUUAUCGCCUUUGGAUGGGCCCUCGUAGGCUUAGCUGGUUGGUAGGGUAAAACCAUACCAAGGCGACGUGCCCGGGCUGGUCUGGGCGGAGGAUCCGCCGGACUGGCACUGCGACACGGCCCAGACCCCUACGGGAGGCAGCAGUGGGGAAUAUUGGGCGCUGGGCGAAAGCCUGAUCCAGCAGUGUCGCGUGUGUGAUGCAGGCCUUAGUGUUGUACAGCUCUUUUAGCCGGGAUGAUAAUGACAGUACCGGGAGAAUAAGCUCCGGCUAACUCCGUG
This 433-nucleotide ribosomal RNA is filed under the name uncultured bacterium. Its description in RNAcentral is "partial 16S ribosomal RNA". It matches the Rfam family "Bacterial small subunit ribosomal RNA", at positions 29 to 507 of the family's 1533-position model. The record is from RNAcentral.